This 253-nucleotide ribosomal RNA is filed under the name uncultured bacterium. Its description in RNAcentral is "partial 16S ribosomal RNA". It matches the Rfam family "Bacterial small subunit ribosomal RNA", at positions 524 to 776 of the family's 1533-position model. The record is from RNAcentral.
UACGUAGGCAGCAAGCGUUGUUCGGAAUUACUGGGCGUAAAGCGUGCGCAGGCGGUUGUGCAAGACAGAUGUGAAAUCCCCGGGCUCAACCUGGGAACUGCAUUUGUGACUGCACGGCUAGAGUGCGGCAGAGGGAGAUGGAAUUCCGCGUGUAGCAGUGAAAUGCGUAGAUAUGCGGAGGAACACCGAUGGCGAAGGCAAUCUCCUGGGCCUGCACUGACGCUCAUGCACGAAAGCGUGGGGAGCAAACAGG